Molecule: ribosomal RNA, 111 nt
Filed under: Diaphorina citri (Asian citrus psyllid)
Lineage: Eukaryota; Metazoa; Arthropoda; Insecta; Hemiptera; Psyllidae
Source: RNAcentral
GACAGCGGCGAUAGCACGUUGAAUACGCCAGUUCCCAGUCAAUCACCUUGGUUAAGCAACGUUUUACGUAGUUGGUAUCCGGAUGGGUGACCCAAUUCUGUGCUGCUGGCU